GUGGGUAGCGGUGAAAUUCCAAUCGAGCCCGGAGAUAGCUGGUUCUCCCCGAAAUAGCUUUAGGGCUAGCCUCAAGGUGAGAGAUACGGAGGUAGAGCACUGAAUGUCCUAGGGGGUAUUGCACCUACCGAAGACUAUCAAACUCCGAAUGCCGUCAUCUUAUACUUGGGAGUCAGACUGUGGGUGAUAAGAUUCAUAGUCGAAA
This 205-nucleotide ribosomal RNA is filed under the name Clostridioides difficile. RNAcentral's name for it is "partial 23S ribosomal RNA". It matches the Rfam family "Bacterial large subunit ribosomal RNA", at positions 811 to 1016 of the family's 2925-position model. Lineage: Bacteria; Bacillati; Bacillota; Clostridia; Peptostreptococcales; Peptostreptococcaceae. The record is from RNAcentral.